AACGCUGGCGGCGCGCUUAACACAUGCAAGUCGAGCGAGAAAGGGAGCAAUCCUGAGUAAAGUGGCGUACGGGUGAGUAACACGUGGGUCAUGUACCCUUUGGUGGGGAAUAACGUUGGGAAACCGACGCUAAUACCGCAUAAUCCCGAGAGGGGAAAGCCGCAAGGCGCCGAAGGAACAGCCCGCGGCCGAUUAGCUAGUUGGUGAGGUAAUGGCUCACCAAGGCUUGGAUCGGUAGCCGGCCUUAGAGGGCACACGGCCACACUGGCAGUGAAACCCGGGCCAGACUCCUACGGGAGGCAGCAGUGGGGAAUCUUGCACAAUGGACGAAAGUCUGAUGCAGCGACGCCUCGUGAGCUGAUGAAGGUCUUCGGAUCGUAAAGCUCUUUCGACUGGAAGAUAAUGACGGUACCAGGAGAAGAAGC
RNAcentral lists this ribosomal RNA (425 nucleotides) under Acidobacteria bacterium UCL-062. RNAcentral describes it as "bacterial SSU rRNA". It matches the Rfam family "Bacterial small subunit ribosomal RNA", at positions 32 to 491 of the family's 1533-position model. The record is from RNAcentral. Lineage: Bacteria; Pseudomonadati; Acidobacteriota.